UUAAUUUUUAAGAGUUUGAUCCUGGCUCAGGAUGAACGCUGGCUGUGUGCCUAAUACAUGCAUGUCGAGCGAGGUUUUUUAAACCUAGCGGCGAAUGGGUGAGUAACACGUGCUUAAUCUACCCUUUAGAUUGGAAUACCCAAUGGAAACAUUGGCUAAUGCCGGAUACGCAUAAAAUCGCAUGAUUUUGUUGUGAAAGGAGCCUUUAAAGCUCCACUAGAGGAUGAGGGUGCGGAACAUUAGUUAGUUGGUAGGGUAAUGGCCUACCAAGACUAUGAUGUUUAGCCGGGUCGAGAGACUGAACGGCCACAUUGGGACUGAGAUACGGCC
RNAcentral lists this ribosomal RNA (330 nucleotides) under Metamycoplasma alkalescens. RNAcentral describes it as "bacterial SSU rRNA". It matches the Rfam family "Bacterial small subunit ribosomal RNA", at positions 1 to 331 of the family's 1533-position model. The record is from RNAcentral. Lineage: Bacteria; Bacillati; Mycoplasmatota; Mycoplasmoidales; Metamycoplasmataceae.